Non-coding RNA from Clostridium cylindrosporum DSM 605, 127 nucleotides. The record is from Rfam. Lineage: Bacteria; Bacillati; Bacillota; Clostridia; Eubacteriales; Clostridiaceae.
AGUGCUUUUAAUUCAGUCCAGAGAGGCUGACAAAGUAAUAAAAUCUAUACUCUAGGGGUGGUGGGUCUAUCUCUAGAUAUAAGGUGGAGUGUAACCUCUUUGUCAGUUGGCAAAGAGGUUUUUUUGC